This 237-nucleotide ribosomal RNA is filed under the name uncultured bacterium. RNAcentral describes it as "partial 16S ribosomal RNA". It matches the Rfam family "Bacterial small subunit ribosomal RNA", at positions 100 to 334 of the family's 1533-position model. The record is from RNAcentral.
CCGGCACGGGUGAGUAACACGUAUCCAACCUGCCGUCUACUCUUGGCCAGCCUUCUGAAAGGAAGAUUAAUCCAGGAUGGCAUCAUGAGUUCACAUGUCCGCAUGAUUAAAGGUAUUCCGGUAGACGAUGGGGAUGCGUUCCAUUAGAUAGUAGGCGGGGUAACGGCCCACCAAACCGACGAUGGAUAGGGGUUCUGAGAGGAAGGUCCCCCACAUUGGUACUGAGACACGGACCAA